AUGGAAUGUCGAUCUAUUAUCACACCAAGGGACCUGGAGUCCAUGCUAUGUGAUGAGACGGCAGAGCCCAAGCCGCUGCCACUGUCACUUCUCAAAGAAAUUACAAAUGAUUUCUCUCCUGAGCAGAAAAUUGGCUCCGGUGGAUUUGCGGUGGUUUAUAAGGGAAUUCUUGAGAAUAGUUCCGUGGCUGUGAAAAGGAUGUUAAAUACGUAUGAGUAUGAGAAGGAGUACGUCCGAGAAGUUGAAUGCCUCAUGAUGGUGAAGCACAAAAAUGUCGUACGGUUUCUGGGAUAUUGUGCUGACACACAAGGCAGUAUGUUAAAGUAUGAAGGAAAAUUGGUCUUGGCCGAUGUACGACAAAGGUUGCUUUGCUUCGAGUUUGUUCCUAAAGGGAGUCUUCGUAAGUAUAUCACGGGUACAUCUUGCGGACUUCACUGGACAGACCGGUAUCAAAUUAUAAUAGGAAUUUCUCAGGGGUUACAUUAUCUUCAUCAAAAUAAUAUUGUCCACUCAGAUCUAAAGCCAGAGAAUAUAUUGUUGGAUGAUAAUUUGGUACCAAAAAUUACUGAUUUUGGUCUAUCAAGGUGCUUUCGUCCAAUGCAGAGCCAGACUUUUACUGUAAACAUACGCGGCACACCGGGUUAUUUUGCACCAGAAUGUUGGAACGGUGAAAUCACACACCGGCUUGAUAUCUAUUGUCUUGGUAUAAUAAUCACGGAGGUACUGACAGGACAAAGGUUGUCUCUAAAUGAUAAUGCUGACAAGGUAGUUGAAAGUUGGAGUGCCAUAUUGGAGAAACCACAGCAGGAUGUACAACUGGAACAGGUACGAGUAUGUGCUGAGAUUGCAAUGAAGUGCAUGGAGAUCAACCCGGCAAGGAGACCAGAUACACAACAUAUUAUCAGUGCCCUUGAUGGAAGAGAAACUAUAAAUGGAUAUAUUGAAAAUAGCAUGAUUACUUCACAGCAGUUUAAUCCGGAAGUAUUGAAUGACACCAUGGGUGCUCUUUGGUUGAGGUAUCAACAACUUAAUCCAGAUCUCCAGCGAAGCUUCAAAUAUUGCAGUAUUUUCCCCAAGAGAUCCAAGUUAAGAAGGGAUGUGUUAGUUCGCUUGUGGGUAGCACAAGGGUUUAUAAAGACCAGUUGUGCAACGGAGGACAUGGAAGAUAUAGCUGAGAGUUAUUUUCAGGAGUUAGUGUCAUGCUCAUUUCUUCAGCAAGGAGGAGAAUGGCAUGAUACUUGGUUUACAAUUCCUGACCUGUUGCAUGAUUUAUUAGACAAGAUUAGUGGAACGGACUGCUUCAGAAUCGAGAAUGCAAGGAGUCAGAGAGGAGAAGGAUGGAAAGGAGAUGUUCCCCAAGACGUCUGCCAUCUUCUUGUAGAGCGUUAUGAUGGAGAAUUGAUUACCAAAAAGAUCCUUGGAUUGGAAAAUUUACACACCCUCAUAAUAUAUGUUGUUGAAAGGGAUACAUCAGUUGAGGCAAAAGUCAUGGAGAGUAUAUGCAAGAGGCUACGUAAACUACGGGUAUUGGCUGUUGCUUUCAGCCGGGAACAUCUUCCAAUCUUACGACCCAAGAAGUUCCUGGUACCAGAAUCCAUUAGACAGUUAAAGGACCUAUGCUAUCUUGCUUUCAGGACAUUCGAAUGCACCGUAAUUUUACCAAGCACACUAACGAAUAAACUUCACCAGAUGCAGCUGCUAGACUUUGGUAAUCAUAGCAAUGGCCAAAUUUGGGAAUUUACCCUUGAUAACCUUAUGAACCUGCGAUACAUAAUUUGUGAGAACUUAGACUGUCCUAACAUAGGCAGGCUGAUCUCACUCCAAGCGUUACCAAGCAGCAGGUUCACUGUGAGGAAUGAACAUGGUUAUGAGAUAAAGCAGCUUAAGGACCUAAACAAGCUUCGUGGCAGCCUGACAAUCUAUGGCCUUGAAAAUGUUAAAAGCAAGGAGGAAGCUGUUGUAGCCAAUAUAGGUGCCAAGGAUCGGUUGAAGGAACUGAAGUUGGAAUGGGGUGAUGAUGGUACAAGGUGCAGUUCAGAAGUUGAAGCAGAGGUGCUUGAGGGCCUGCGCCCUCCCGUAGGUCUUGAAGAACUGAUUAUCUCAGGCUAUAAAAGCUCGAGAAACCCAGAUUGGAUGGUGGGUAAACAGAAUGGUGGCCCAGAGAACCUGCAAAAACUUGUGUUGUUUGGAUGGAGCCAACCGGGAUCUUGUCCUGAACUUGAGGCGUUCGUUCAGCUUCGUGUGCUCUGGCUUGGUCACUGCAGGUGGGACACAUUGCCAGCCAGUAUUGAGCACCUCACAUCGCUCAAGGAACUGGAAAUCGAAGGGUGCUUGAAUAUCCGGUCGCUUCCAACACUGCCCCGAUCUCUUGAGAAGUUUUCUGUUGCAUACUGCAGUGGUGAGUUCACGAAGUCAUGUCAAACAGUCAGACAUCCAAAUUGGCAGAAGAUCAAGCACAUCCCCGACCAAAGAUUUGAAGACCCAGCAUCCUCAGAAGAAAAUUCUAGUGAGAUUGUCCCACAAAAGAAGAGAAGAAAGAAGAGAAGGUUGGCUAGGAAUCACAAGUCGGUGAAUCAGUGA
Molecule: ribosomal RNA, 2580 nt
Filed under: Triticum aestivum (bread wheat)
Lineage: Eukaryota; Viridiplantae; Streptophyta; Magnoliopsida; Poales; Poaceae
Description: partial small subunit ribosomal RNA
Source: RNAcentral